AUCCUUUUGCAGAGGCAAGUUCAUAGUCUGUGAAGUCUUACUGAGACGUGAUUAUUGCUGGUUGAAAACUUCACCCAAUACCCCGCCUUGAUGACUUGUUGGGCAUGGCCAGUUGGGCAUACCAUCCAACAAGG
RNAcentral lists this small nuclear RNA (134 nucleotides) under Amphiprion ocellaris (clown anemonefish). Its description in RNAcentral is "U4 spliceosomal RNA". It matches the Rfam family "U4 spliceosomal RNA". From Rfam's summary of the family: U4 small nuclear RNA (U4 snRNA) is a component of the major U2-dependent spliceosome. The structure of U4 snRNA from yeast and human has been reported. Lineage: Eukaryota; Metazoa; Chordata; Actinopteri; Pomacentridae. The record is from Rfam by way of RNAcentral.